GUGCUCGGUUCAGCAGCACAUAUACUAAAAUCGGAAAUAUACAGAGAAGAUUAGCAUGGCCCCUGCACAAGGAUGACAUGCAAAUUCGUGAAGGAUUCCAUAUAAAA
RNAcentral lists this small nuclear RNA (107 nucleotides) under Propithecus coquereli (Coquerel's sifaka). The record is from RNAcentral. Lineage: Eukaryota; Metazoa; Chordata; Mammalia; Primates; Indriidae.